CAGCGAGUGAARAGGGAAGAGCUCAAAUUUAAAAUCUGGCGGUCUCUGGCUGUCCGAGUUGUAAAUUAGAGAAGUGUUAUCCGCUCAAGCCUGUGCAAAAGUCUCUUGGAAAAGGGCAUCAUAGAGGGUGACAAUCCCGUCUUUGGCACAGAUCACUUGCGCUUUUGUGAUGCGCUCUCGAUGAGUCGAGUUGUUUGGGAAUGCAGCUCUAAAUGGGUGGUAAAUUCCAUCUAAAGCUAAAUAUGGGCGAGAAACCGAUAGCGAACAAGUACCGUGAGGGAAAGAUGAAAAGCACUUUGAAAAGAGAGUCAAACAGUAUGUGAAAUUGUUGAAAGGGAAACGCUUGAAGUCAGUCGUAUCCUUCAGAAAUCAACCUGACCUUUGGCUGGGUGCAUUUUUUGUUGGAUGGGUCAGCAUCAAUUUUGAUCAUUGGAUAAAGGACUUGGGAAUGUGGCAUCUUUGGAUGUGUUAUAGCCUCUGUUUGUAUACAAUGAUUGGGAUUGAGGAACUCAGUGUGACUUUGGUUUGGAGGUAUUGCACCUCACACACGCACUUAGGAUGCUGGCAUAAUGGCUUUAAUCGACCCGUCUUGAAACACGGACCAAGGAGUCUAACAUGCAUGCGAGUGUUUGGGUGGAAAACUCAAGCGCGCAAUGAAAGUGAAAGUUGAGAACCCCUUUGGGGUGCAUCGACGCCCGGACUUGAUCUUUUGUGACGGACCUGCGGUAGAGCAUGUAUGUUGGGACCCGAAAGAUGGUGAACUAUGCCUGAAUAGGGUGAAGUCAGAGGAAACUCUGAUGGAAGCUCGUAGCGAUUCUGACGUGCAAUCGAUCGUCAAUUUGGGUAUAGGGGCGAAAGACUAAUCGAACCAUCUAGUAGCUGGUUCCCGCG
This 891-nucleotide ribosomal RNA is filed under the name Hodophilus foetens. RNAcentral's name for it is "LSU rRNA". It matches the Rfam family "Eukaryotic large subunit ribosomal RNA", at positions 87 to 962 of the family's 3401-position model. The record is from RNAcentral. Lineage: Eukaryota; Fungi; Basidiomycota; Agaricomycetes; Agaricales; Clavariaceae.